Molecule: microRNA precursor, 125 nt
Filed under: Paramuricea clavata
Lineage: Eukaryota; Metazoa; Cnidaria; Anthozoa; Malacalcyonacea; Plexauridae
Source: RNAcentral
AACAGGGGGGAGAGAGGGAGAAGUAUUUACGGAAAUAUGGAAAUAGAACAAAAAAAUAGUGAGACUUUUGAUAUUUUGUUCCAUUUCCGUUUUUCCGUGAUUACUUCUCCACCUCCCAAUUCAAU